AUUGAACGCUGGCGGCAGGCUUAACACAUGCAAGUCGAGCGAGCGGCGGACGGGUGAGUAAUGUCUGGGAAACUGCCUGAUGGAGGGGGAUCACUACUGGAAACGGUAGCUAAUACCGCAUACCAUCAGAUGUGCCCAGAUGGGAUUAGCUAGUAGGUUGGGUAAUGGCACACCAAGGCGACGAUCCAUAGCUGGUCUGAGAGGAUGACCAGCCCGACUGGAACUGAGACACGGUGCAGACUCCUACGGUGGGCAGCAGUGAGGAGUAGUGCCUAAUGGGCGCAAGCCUGAUGCAGCCAUGCCGCGUGUGUGAAGAAGGCCUUCGAGUUGUGAAGCACUUUCAGCGAGGAGGCGUUACUCGCAGAAGAAACACCGGCUAACUCCGUGCCAGCCGGGGCGGUAAUAC
Molecule: ribosomal RNA, 406 nt
Filed under: uncultured bacterium
Lineage: Bacteria
Description: partial 16S ribosomal RNA
Rfam family: Bacterial small subunit ribosomal RNA
Source: RNAcentral